AAGGGCACCACAAGAACGCGUGNAGNNGUGGCUUAAUUUGACUCAACGCGGGAAAUCUUACCGGGNCCGGACACACUGAGGAUUGACAGGUGUUUUGCAAUUAAAAAAAAAAAAGAAAAAUUUAUUUUUCUUUCGAUUUUUUGUUGCUUCNAAAUAUGCUAGNCCUUUCANGAUUGNGUGANAGGUGGUGCAUGGCCGUUCUUAGUUCGGGGAGNGAUCUGUCNGCUUAAUUGCGUUUCAUGAUUGGACUUUACAGUAAUGGUAUCGCUUAAGAAGCUUGAUUGUAUUGACAUUUUUUUUUGCACCGUUUUAUCUGAAUUAAAAAAAUUUUUUUUUUAAAAUCAUUCUUUUAGUUCAAUACUAACAGCAAUCUUAAUUUGUUUUACCAAUCAAUGUCUUUUUUGUGAUAUCAUGUUAAGGUCCUGAAGGCAACGAACGUGACCGCAACCUCUUGUUACCUCCCCUUUUUUUUUAAAUUUUUUUAAAGAAAAACAGAUAGAAAAAUAUUUAAAAAUUAUAUUAGAGAGAAGUGGGACUACGGUUUCAUUUUUUUUUAAUGUAACUUUUUAUUUCAUUUUUUUUAUUCUGCAUGGRGGAAAACUAGAGGGACCGCUGCGAAAAAUUUAAACCAGAGGAAGGRUGCGGCAAUAACAGGUCUGUGAUGCCCUUAGAUGUUCCSGGCUKCACACRUGCYACAAUGAUUAUUGCAGUCNGCAUCUUACAAAGUUCGUGUGCAUCGAUCAUUUUUUUUUGAUCNCUAUGCAUAUUUUUCCUUUUUUUUUUUUCUAAAAAAGAAAAGGAACGACUAGCCUGCUUCGAAAGUAAGUAGGUAAUCAAUUCGAAGUAAUGAUUUCCCUUGCACAUUCAAAUGUUCUUUUUGAAAUUUAUUUCGGUUAAUAGAUUCGUCUAUUAGUCGAAUAUUUUUCAAUAAGACAUGUGCUUAUUCAAUUCAUGGUGGGGACAGACCAUUGAUAAUUGUUGGUCUCGGUCUUAACUAGGAAUGCCUUGUACGGGUCUUUGGUUCAACAGNCCACCCGGAAUNCNUCCCUGCCCUUUGUACACNCCGCCCGUCGCUCUUNNCGAUGGACUUCUCUGUGNGUUUAAGGGACUUGAAAUUUNUUUCUAUGGANNCGUANACGAACAGUGUGGNCUAAAGGAAAGAGAAGNCGUAACAANGCAUCGGNAGGUGANNCNG
This 1195-nucleotide ribosomal RNA is filed under the name Foraminifera environmental sample. Its description in RNAcentral is "partial 18S ribosomal RNA". It matches the Rfam family "Eukaryotic small subunit ribosomal RNA". The record is from RNAcentral. Lineage: Eukaryota; Foraminifera.